Molecule: ribosomal RNA, 459 nt
Filed under: uncultured bacterium
Lineage: Bacteria
Description: partial 16S ribosomal RNA
Rfam family: Bacterial small subunit ribosomal RNA
Source: RNAcentral
CCUACGUGUGGCAGCAGUGAGGAAUAUUGGUCAAUGGUCGGGAGACUGAACCAGCCAAGCCGCGUGAGGGAUGAAGGUACAAAGUAUCGUAAACCUCUUUUGUCAGGGAACAAAGGCGGGGACGUGUCCCCGGAUGAGAGUACCUGAAGAAAAAGCAUCGGCUAACUCCGUGCCAGCAGCCGCGGUAAUACGGAGGAUGCGAGCGUUAUCCGGAUUUAUUGGGUUUAAAGGGUGCGCAGGCGGUCUGUUAAGUCAGGGGUCAAAGCACGGGGCUCAACCCCGGCCCGCCGUUGAAACGGUCGGUCUCGAGUUGGAGAGAGGUAGGCGGAAUGCGUGGUGUAGGGGUGAAAUGCAUAGAGAUCGCGCAGAACUCCGAUUGCGAAGGCAGCGUGCCGGCGCCACACUGACGCUGAGGCACGAAAGCGUGGGUAUCGAACAGGAGUAGAGACCCCUGUAGUC